Molecule: long non-coding RNA, 771 nt
Filed under: Mus musculus (house mouse)
Lineage: Eukaryota; Metazoa; Chordata; Mammalia; Rodentia; Muridae
Description: predicted gene 4792
Source: RNAcentral
CUAAGCUCCCAGAGCUAUAAAUCUCUAGCUUCUAAAGCCUUAGCCAUAAGCCUCAGGGCUUGGCUCUAUAAGCCUCUGAGCCUGCGAACCCAGUCCAUAAGCCUUUGGCACUUGAGCCUGGCCCUGCCAACCUGGAAGAGCCACUCCUUAACUAUCAGAAGUCUACACAAAUAGAACAAGAGGACCCUAGGCAGCUGAUGAUAGCAGGCCCUGACUGUUUCAGUGUCUUUAACUUCUCGUCUUUCUCUUGCCCUACAGAUCUCGUCCAUUCGUCUGCUUUUAGAGAUAGCAAACCUUGCACUCACCGCUCCUGUACCCAGACUGCCUCUGUGUGGACUCUUGGACUGCUUGUGCCCCUCCCCCACACAGCCCAGUGGCCAGGAUUCCUGCCUAACUAUAUCCCAAGAAUUGAGCCUAGGACUCUCUUUGGUCUGCUCUGGCUCAUAAAAGCCAAGACGAGGUGUACCUUUGAUAUAUGUAUCCACGUAAUUGAUAAAACGGGAAAGAUCAGAGGAUGGAGUUUGGAGAGUACAAGACAGGUUCCUGUGAACCAGGCGGGUUCAGGAAUCAGUCGCAUCACUUCUUUCAGGAAGCAGUUCUUCCAACUUCCCUCCUCCCAGGCCACCAUCUCUGAGGAUAACACAACCCUGAAUGUGGUCCAUGGUGCUUCAUGGGUGCUCUGCAGGCACUCUCCUCCACUAGACUAUAAGCUUGUUUCCAAGUGGUGGCACAUAAUAGGUGCUCAAUAAAUGUUGGCACCAUGAGGAAAUG